Gadus macrocephalus (Pacific cod) is the source of this 381-nucleotide long non-coding RNA. RefSeq lists it as uncharacterized. NCBI's taxonomy places the organism in Eukaryota, Metazoa, Chordata, Actinopteri, Gadiformes, Gadidae. The transcript is spliced from 2 exons. The record is from RefSeq and is a predicted model, not a curated record.
UUGACACUGUUAGAUUUCAGCUUAUUUCUAAACUGGCAAUCUUCAGAGGCAAUCGUCUUCUCACUCCUCUCUCUUCAAGACGGUGUCACGGCACCAAAUGUUAGAUUUCAGCUUAUUUCUAAACUGUUCGGACAGACUCUGCGUUGUGUAUUUUCAGUCGUAGUAGUAAUUCUUGAAGUCGAAAUCAAAGCAGCUUGACAGGUUGGAUUAGAGGGUUGAAUAGAUGGUUUAUUCCAGGAUGUACAGCGAGAUACAGACUUAGGUUGAAUAAUCUAUAGUGGACCCGGUGGUCGAUGACUUGUUCCUUGGCUGUCGAAACCCUCUACUCGUCGAACCAAAGGGUUGGGGCGAGUAUAAUACAAAAAGGGGAUAGAUGAAUAA